AACGACUCUCGACAACGGAUAUCUCGGCUCUCGCAUCGAUGAAGAACGUAGCGAAAUGCGAUACUUGGUGUGAAUUGCAGAAUCCCGUGAACCAUCGAGUCUUUGAACGCAAGUUGCGCCCGAAGCCACUAGGCCGAGGGCACGCCUGCCUGGGUGUCGCGC
This 162-nucleotide ribosomal RNA is filed under the name Prionosciadium diversifolium. RNAcentral's name for it is "5.8S ribosomal RNA". It matches the Rfam family "5.8S ribosomal RNA". From Rfam's summary of the family: 5.8S ribosomal RNA (5.8S rRNA) is a component of the large subunit of the eukaryotic ribosome. It is transcribed by RNA polymerase I as part of the 45S precursor that also contains 18S and 28S rRNA. Lineage: Eukaryota; Viridiplantae; Streptophyta; Magnoliopsida; Apiales; Apiaceae. The record is from RNAcentral.